AUGAGGCAUUAAUCAAUGAAAAAGAAGAAAUUAUUUAAAAUAACAAAAAAAAUUAAAGCAAGAAAAUGAAACCUUAAAGAAGAAAGUUGAUAGCUUAAAAUCUUUGGUAGAAAAAUUCACCUGUAGUUCAGAAAAAUUACAAAUGAUAUUAAACAGCCAAAAAGGAGUUUAUGAUAAGGCUGGUUUGAGAUAUAAACCUAACAAUAAGCAAAAUUAUCUUAAAAAUUUUUUUCAGUAUCUUCAUCCACUUACAGCACAUCACAUAUAACUUGUUUUAGUAGUGGAA
Molecule: long non-coding RNA, 286 nt
Filed under: Elaeis guineensis (African oil palm)
Lineage: Eukaryota; Viridiplantae; Streptophyta; Magnoliopsida; Arecales; Arecaceae
Description: long non-coding RNA (EGUI_LNC043642)
Source: RNAcentral